UAACACACAAACAAGUACAGAUUCAAUUAGAACACACACCAAAAUUUGAUAUGUACGAUGCUAUAUAAUAUACGUAUCUAGCUUCUAAUUCCCAAACAAACAAAUGUCAAGCUCCUGAUAUGACUUCAACAGAGAAACCCUGAUUUGAAAAAAAAAAUCCAUAGCAGAGCAAAAAAAAACCACACCUUUCCACAUUCGCUAAAAUGGCAAAGAGCCCAGACGAUGUUUUUACCUGAAAUGUGGGAUCUGGGAAGCUAAUCAACGAAGAGACUCUUUAUAUAUGUGUUCCACCAAAUGUGGGAUCUGGGAAGCCCAAACUUGUAUUUUGUCCCACAUCGGUUACAUACCUCAAAAUGUUUUACUUUAUAUAUGAAAUUAAAUCAAUACUUGUACGUCGAGCUCAGUAACGUGGGCUUGUGACCCGUGUGGGGACAAUAAGUUGGUGGAACACUGGCUCGGCCCACGGGUCGGAUCUGUUGUGGCAUUGUUCCGGGCUGCCCAGUCCAAGCUGAGAGUGAUCCGUGUGUGUUAAGCGAAGGCUUGGCUCAGGCGGUUCUUGCAGUGGAGGGCAAUGCGUGAGGCUGGUUUCACAGAGCAGCGAUCACCUCCCGCUCUCAGCAGUGGACGGAUCACAGCUCGACGCCACUCAGAUUCACCAUGGCCUGCUGGCUCGUUCCCAGCUGGACCACCAAUUUUUUAUUUUCUUUUUGACAAUUGUAUUUAUG
Arabidopsis thaliana (thale cress) is the source of this 725-nucleotide long non-coding RNA. RefSeq annotates it as other RNA. The record is from RefSeq. The transcript has a single exon. NCBI's taxonomy places the organism in Eukaryota, Viridiplantae, Streptophyta, Magnoliopsida, Brassicales, Brassicaceae.